CGUAACAAGGUUUCCGUAGGUGAACCUGCGGAAGGAUCAUUACCGAGUGCGGGCUGCCUCCGGGCGCCCAACCUCCCACCCGUGACUACCUAACACUGUUGCUUCGGCGGGGAGCCCUCUCGGGGGCGAGCCGCCGGGGACUACUGAACUUCAUGCCUGAGAGUGAUGCAGUCUGAGUCUGAAUAUAAAAUCAGUCAAAACUUUCAACAAUGGAUCUCUUGGUUCCGGCAUCGAUGAAGAACGCAGCGAACUGCGAUAAGUAAUGUGAAUUGCAGAAUUCAGUGAAUCAUCGAGUCUUUGAACGCACAUUGCGCCCCCUGGCAUUCCGGGGGGCAUGCCUGUCCGAGCGUCAUUGCUGCCCAUCAAGCCCGGCUUGUGUGUUGGGUCGUCGUCCCCCCCGGGGGACGGGCCCGAAAGGCAGCGGCGGCACCGUGUCCGGUCCUCGAGCGUAUGGGGCUUUGUCACCCGCUCGAUUAGGGCCGGCCGGGCGCCAGCCGACGUCUCCAACCAUUUUCUUCAGGUUGACCUCGGAUCAGGUAGGGAUACCCGCUGAACUUAAGCAUAUCAAUAA
This 571-nucleotide unclassified non-coding RNA is filed under the name Aspergillus jensenii. Its description in RNAcentral is "sequence contains ITS1, 5.8S rRNA gene, ITS2". The stretch from base 199 to 352 matches the Rfam family "5.8S ribosomal RNA". Lineage: Eukaryota; Fungi; Ascomycota; Eurotiomycetes; Eurotiales; Aspergillaceae. The record is from RNAcentral.